Molecule: ribosomal RNA, 393 nt
Filed under: uncultured bacterium
Lineage: Bacteria
Description: partial 16S ribosomal RNA
Rfam family: Bacterial small subunit ribosomal RNA
Source: RNAcentral
AUACGUAGGUGGCGAGCGUUAUCCGGAAUUACUGGGUGUAAAGGGUGUGUAGGCGGGAAGGCAAGUCGGAUGUGAAAAUUAUGGGCUCAACCCAUAAAGUGCGACCGCAACUGUUUUUCUUGAGGAUCGGAGAGGUAAUGAGAAUUCCCGGUGAUGCGGUGAAAUGCGCAGAGAUCGGGAGGAAUACCGGUGGCGAAGGCGAAUGACUGGACGAUAACUGACGCUGAGACACGAAAGCGUGGGGAGCAAACAGGAUUAGAUACCCUGGUAGUCCACGCCCUAAACGAUGAAUGCUAGGUGUAGGGGAGUCAUCUUCUGUGCCGCAGCUAACGCAAUAAGCAUUCCACCUGGGGAGUACGGCCGCAAGGUUGAAACUCAAAUGAAUUGACGGGG